RNAcentral lists this small nuclear RNA (23 nucleotides) under Arabidopsis thaliana (thale cress). RNAcentral's name for it is "snRNA_16501". The record is from RNAcentral. Lineage: Eukaryota; Viridiplantae; Streptophyta; Magnoliopsida; Brassicales; Brassicaceae.
CUCACUACACUCUCUCUCUUUCA